This 207-nucleotide ribosomal RNA is filed under the name Nacobbus aberrans. RNAcentral describes it as "partial 18S ribosomal RNA". It matches the Rfam family "Eukaryotic small subunit ribosomal RNA", at positions 1641 to 1831 of the family's 1831-position model. The record is from RNAcentral. Lineage: Eukaryota; Metazoa; Nematoda; Chromadorea; Rhabditida; Pratylenchidae.
UCGAUUACGUCCCUGCCCUUUGUACACACCGCCCGUCGCUGCCCGGGACUGAGCCAUUUCGAGAAACUUGGGGACUGCUGAUCCGGUGGCUUCGGCCUCCGCUUCGGUGGAAACCAAUUUAAUCGCAGUGGCUUGAACCGGGCAAAAGUCGUAACAAGGUAGCUGUAGGUGAACCUGCUGCUGGAUCAUUACACGUACCGUGAUGGU